GACGAACGCUGGCGGCGUGCUUAACACAUGCAAGUCGAACGGAAAGGCCCUGCUUUUGUGGGGUGCUCGAGUGGCGAACGGGUGAGUAACACGUGAGUAACCUGCCCUUGACUUUGGGAUAACUUCAGGAAACUGGGGCUAAUACCGGAUAGGAGCUCCUGCUGCAUGGUGGGGGUUGGAAAGUUUCGGCGGUUGGGGAUGGACUCGCGGCUUAUCAGCUUGUUGGUGGGGUAGUGGCUUACCAAGGCUUUGACGGGUAGCCGGGCUGAGAGGGUGACCGGCAACAUGGGGACUGAGAUACGGCCCAGACUCCUACGGGAGGCAGCAGUGGGGAAUAUUGCACAAUGGGCGGAAGCCUGAUGCAGCAACGCCGCGUGCGGGAUGACGGCCUUCGGGUUGUAAACCGCUUUCGCCUGUGACGAAGCGUGAGUGACGGUAAUGGGUAAAGAAGCACCGGCUAACUACGUG
Molecule: ribosomal RNA, 468 nt
Filed under: uncultured bacterium
Lineage: Bacteria
Description: partial 16S ribosomal RNA
Rfam family: Bacterial small subunit ribosomal RNA
Source: RNAcentral